Molecule: ribosomal RNA, 492 nt
Filed under: uncultured bacterium
Lineage: Bacteria
Description: partial 16S ribosomal RNA
Rfam family: Bacterial small subunit ribosomal RNA
Source: RNAcentral
AUUGAACGCUGGCGGCAUGCUUUACACAUGCAAGUCGAACGGUAACAGGCCUUCGGGUGCUGACGAGUGGCGGACGGGUGAGUAAUGCAUCGGAACGUGCCCAGAGGUGGGGGAUAACGCAGCGAAAGCUGUGCUAAUACCGCAUGUGAUCUGAGGAUGAAAGCGGGGGACCAGGCAGCAAUGUUUGGCCUCGCGCCUUUGGAGCGGCCGAUGUCAGAUUAGGUAGUUGGGGGGGUAAAGGCCUACCAAGCCGACGAUCUGUAGCUGGUCUGAGAGGACGACCGGCCACACUGGGACUGGGACACGGCCCAGACUCCUACGGGAGGCAGCAGUGGGGAAUUUUGGACAAUGGGCGCAAGCCUGAUCCAGCAAUGCCGCGUGCGGGAAGAAGGCCUUCGGGUUGUAAACCGCUUUUGUACGGAACGAAAAGGCUCUGGCUAAUACCUGGGGCUGAUGACGGUACCGUAAGAAUAAGCACCGGCUAACUACGUG